Long non-coding RNA from Mercenaria mercenaria, 2811 nucleotides. RefSeq lists it as uncharacterized. The transcript is spliced from 2 exons. Lineage: Eukaryota; Metazoa; Mollusca; Bivalvia; Venerida; Veneridae. The record is from RefSeq and is a predicted model, not a curated record.
GGGCAUAGCUUGUCCGAACCCCAAGUAUCUGCGUUUCUUUUUCUGAUUAUUUCCUUUUUUACUAAGACACAAUAUUUUCAGCGAUGUUGAUUUUCGAGACUGAUUAGUUUCCUUUUUUCUAACAAUAGUGUAUUCUGUAAAGGAAAUAAAACCUUUUCUGAAACAUAAUGUGUGAUAAUGUUCAAUCAUUUGUGUGUUUAUCAUUGAAAAAGUUACAAUAAUGUGAUGAAAGUGAAAGUAGUCCUGUAAAAGUUACCAAAGAAAAAACCUGCUAUAUUUAAAGACAUUCAUCUAAGUAAAUAUGUUUUUAUUUACCACAGUACUUAGAUAAAUAUCUUAGACACACAAGUAGCACAAAGUUAGAGAGAAAUGUUUCCUUGAUAGAUUUUUUUUUUUUAGUUUUUCUUUACAAUUUGAAGACGGACAGUUUUUCUUUACAAAUAGAAGACGGGCAUAUUUUGCUUAAAUUAGAAGACGGGCAGGGCAGUUUUUCUUUAAAUUAGAAGACGGACAGUUUUUCUUUACAAUUAGAAGACGGGCAGAUUUUCUUUACAAAUUAUAGAAGACGGACAGUCGAAUCAUUAGGACACCUGUGACCUGAUACAUUUAUUUUUAUACACUCUUGCAAGGCAUACUUACGUUUCUGACAAUACAGAAAAUAACAGCUUUUUCCGGAAGUUUCUAAAAUGAAAAUACACGGACUAAACUUGAAAUGGAUGUCGCAUUUUUAAGGUACAAUAGUACUAAAUAAGUAAUCAAACAGCACUUCCGAGCUUCAGAUAAUGGCAGAAAGAAAAAAUCUGAUAAUGGCGGAAAGAAAAAUUCCUCAACUUUUCUCUCGUAUAAAAUGGACUUUUUAUUGGCAUUUUCGUGUUUUAUGUAAGCCUGUUUCUGUUGUUAUUUCAUUGUGGACCUAAACAUGACACUGUAGUAGCAUUUUCAAAAAGAUUUUUUUUGCAUUUAAAGAAAUGUAAAUAAACCUCAUUACACAUGUGUUCAUACCGACAUUCUAGCAAUCAGUUUUGAAGAUGUUCCAUUGUGUUGACCUGUCAGACAAAACAUUUCUCAUAGAAGAUACAUUAACCCUACUUUUCUUGUUUUUUGUGGUUUAUAGGUCAUUUAUGAACACAAGGUUAGUACUUAAAAAAAUGGGCCUGACUAAGUGUGACAACUCUUUUGAAUGGAACAUAUAGCAAAUUUAUUUUCUACUGUGUUACCUAAAGGUCUACAUCCAGGGUCAAACUGUCUAAAAUAUAACCGUGGAAAUUUUUAGUCAAUUUUUUGCCCGGUGCUCUUUCUUACGAUUUGAAAAAUAGCCCGGGUUUUUUAUAUAUGAAGUAUUUUUUACACACUGAACAGAGAACCAUAACGGGACAAGUGUGUGUUUCAAAUCCCGUCAAAAUGUUAUUAAACUAAAAGCCGUUUCAAUGCUGUCUAAAAGUGUCAGUAUAUGAUUCAGGUGUCAGUAUAUGAUUCAGGUGUCAGGUACCUGAUACUGAUUCAGGUGUCAGUAUAUGAUUCAGGUGUCAGUAUAUGAGGUGUCAGGUAUAUGAUUCAGGUGUCAGUAUAUGAUUCAGGUGUCAGUAUAUGAUUCAGGUGUCAGGUAUAUGAUUCAGGUGUCAGUAUAUGAUUCAGGUGUCAGGUAUAUGAUUCAGGUGUCAGUAUAUGAUUCAGGUGUCAGUAUAUGAUUCAGGUGUCAGGUAUAUGAUUCAGAUGUCAGGUAUAUGAUUCAGGUGUCAGUAUAUGAUUCAUGUGUCAGAUAUAUGAUUCAGGUGUCAGUAUAUGAUUCAGGUGUCAGUAUAUGAGUCAGGUGUCAGGUAUAUGAUUCAGGUGUCAGUAUAUGAUUCAGGUGUCAGGUAUAUGAUUCAGGUGUCAGUAUAUGAUUCAGGUGUCAGGUAUAUGAUUCAGGUGUCAGUAUAUGAUUCAGGUGUCAGGUAUAUGAUUCAGGUGUCAGUAUAUGAUUCAGGUGUCAGGUAUAUGAUUCAGGUGUCAGUAUAUGAUUCAGGUGUCAGAUGUUUCUGUAUUUAAAAAGCUGCUGACCUAGACAUUGCAGCCAUAUUUUCAAAAUGGCUUUUGUAUAAUAAUUUGUUGAUUCUACGGAUGCGUGUAGGUGCCAUCAGUCGCUAAUACGUUUUUACGUUAUAGAUACAGAAAGGAUAUAAGACAAACUGUUUGUUGUUCCAAAGCUACUUCUACUUUUUCUGAACAAAUUUUAUACUUUUUUUAAAAGAAAAAAAAUGGUAUAGUUUGGGUUUUGAGGUCAGGACACGGACAUUAUGUUGUCAACUAGAAUACCCGUUGCGGAUAUCUUGACAGCUAGAAUACCGGACGUGGAUAUUGUGUGGUACGUUUACGACAAUAUCAUAAAUAUCGCAGUAUGGUUUCACAAUAAACGUUUGUCAGAAAACGGUUUCAAGGAAAUGUCAUGUCCCAGAGAACUGUAUAGAUCUACAUACUUGUUGAGGAAUAUAGUCUCAAUGUCAACCAGUGUUUCGACUUUCGUAAAAUUUUCAGUGUUAUUUAAUAAAUAUUAAAGAAAUUGAAUAUGAGCUAGAUAAGUUUGAUAAGAGAAAAAGUAGAGGUUCCACACCAGUAAGCUACUUGCUGUGUGAUAAUGUAAGGGUGUCCGAAUUUUAUUACAUGAAGGUAAAUAUAUAACCUAUUCACGUAGUAUGUGAACUUAAACAUUUUGAUUGAUUUCAACACGUUACAAAAUAUUGAAUCUAAAAGAAAAAAAAAUUGAUAAGACAUAAAUUUUAAAUGAAUUAUUAAUCACAUGAACUGCGAUCAGAAAUUUGGGAUUUUACAAAA